RNAcentral lists this ribosomal RNA (435 nucleotides) under uncultured bacterium. RNAcentral's name for it is "bacterial SSU rRNA". It matches the Rfam family "Bacterial small subunit ribosomal RNA", at positions 29 to 510 of the family's 1533-position model. The record is from RNAcentral.
AACGAACGCUGGCGGCAGGCCUAACACAUGCAAGUCGAGCGCCCAGCAAUGGGAGCGGCAGACGGGUGAGUAACGCGUGGGAACCUUCCUGAUAGUACGGAAUAGCCCAGGGAAACUUGGAGUAAUACCGUAUACGCCCGCAAGGGGAAAGAUUUAUCGCUGUCAGAUGGGCCCGCGUAGGAUUAGCUAGUUGGUGAGGUAACGGCUCACCAAGGCGACGAUCCUUAGCUGGUUUGAGAGAAUGACCAGCCACACUGGGACUGAGACACGGCCCAGACUCCUACGGGAGGCAGCAGUGGGGAAUCUUGGACAAUGGGCGCAAGCCUGAUCCAGCCAUGCCGCGUGAGUGACGAAGGUCUUCGGAUUGUAAAGCUCUUUUGCCAGGGACGAUAAUGACGGUACCUGGAGAAGUAAGCCCCGGCUAACUUCGUGCCA